CCAGUGGGAACUGAGAUUGUCCCAGAAAGGAAAUGGAAGCUCUGUUAGUUAGACAUUUCUGAUAAGGAAUCUGUGACCAUUGCGGAUUGGAAGCAAAAAUAUAUACUUCCUUACGGGAAGAACUUGGUUUAAAUUGGGAUAUUUCUGAAGAGAAGAAUCAGUUUCCCAAAUGGCAAGUCCUGGACCCAGAGAAGUCAUGUCCAGAAGUGCCUAAUGGAAAGAAAAUAUUCAGACUUCAAGCCAACAGUUGUUCCCGGGAACAAUACCUUCCUGCAAAGAGGAGCCCCUGUCAUGAUGAACCCGUUGCUUUAGAGUAGUGCUGUCCAAUAGAACUUUCUGUGAUAAUGAAAAUGUUCUUUUUUAAAAAAACAAGACAAAACAAAACAAUUUUUAUUUUUGGUUCAGGGAUUCAUGCGAAAAUUUGUUACAUAGGUAAACUCAUGUCAUGAGGUUUGUUGUACAGAUUAUUUCAUCACGCAGGUAUUAAGCCCAAUACUCAAUUGCUAUCUUUUCAGCUCCUCUCCCUCCUCUCACCCUCUACCCUCAAUUAGAGCCCCGUAGCUGAUGUUUCCCUCUUUG
This 579-nucleotide long non-coding RNA is filed under the name Macaca mulatta (Rhesus monkey). Its description in RNAcentral is "lncRNA (ENSMMUG00000062207.1)". The record is from RNAcentral. Lineage: Eukaryota; Metazoa; Chordata; Mammalia; Primates; Cercopithecidae.